This 390-nucleotide ribosomal RNA is filed under the name Salmonella enterica subsp. enterica serovar Muenchen. RNAcentral's name for it is "partial 23S ribosomal RNA". It matches the Rfam family "Bacterial large subunit ribosomal RNA", at positions 2413 to 2802 of the family's 2925-position model. The record is from RNAcentral. Lineage: Bacteria; Pseudomonadati; Pseudomonadota; Gammaproteobacteria; Enterobacterales; Enterobacteriaceae. RNAcentral also lists the same sequence under 11 other names.
UAGUGAUCCGGUGGUUCUGAAUGGAAGGGCCAUCGCUCAACGGAUAAAAGGUACUCCGGGGAUAACAGGCUGAUACCGCCCAAGAGUUCAUAUCGACGGCGGUGUUUGGCACCUCGAUGUCGGCUCAUCACAUCCUGGGGCUGAAGUAGGUCCCAAGGGUAUGGCUGUUCGCCAUUUAAAGUGGUACGCGAGCUGGGUUUAGAACGUCGUGAGACAGUUCGGUCCCUAUCUGCCGUGGGCGCUGGAGAACUGAGGGGGGCUGCUCCUAGUACGAGAGGACCGGAGUGGACGCAUCACUGGUGUUCGGGUUGUCAUGCCAAUGGCACUGCCCGGUAGCUAAAUGCGGAAGAGAUAAGUGCUGAAAGCAUCUAAGCACGAAACUUGCCCCGA